RNAcentral lists this ribosomal RNA (494 nucleotides) under uncultured bacterium. RNAcentral describes it as "partial 16S ribosomal RNA". It matches the Rfam family "Bacterial small subunit ribosomal RNA", at positions 28 to 507 of the family's 1533-position model. The record is from RNAcentral.
GACGAACGCUGGCGGCGUGCUUAACACAUGCAAGUCGAACGGAAAGGCCUGCUUUCCCUUGUGGAUUGCGGGUACUCGAGUGGCGAACGGGUGAGUAACACGUGAGUGAUCUGCCCCCAACUUGGGUAUAAGCCUGGGAAACUGGGUCUAAUUCCCGAUAGGACUGCAGGGUGGUGCCUGUGGUGGAAAACGAUUUUCUAGUGGUUGGGGAUGAGCUCGCGGCCUAUCAGCUUGUUGGUGGGGUAAUGGCCUACCAAGGCGGCGACGGGUAGCCGGCCUGGGAGGGUGGACGGCCGCAUUGGGACUGAGAUACGGCCCAGACUCCUACGGGAGGCAGCAGUGGGGACUAUAGCACCAUGGGCGUAAGCCUGAUGCAGCGACGCCGCGUGGGGGAUGACGGCCUUCGGGUUGUAAACUCCUUGCGACCGCGAGGAAGCCACCUGGUUGGAAGGGUGGUGACGGUAGUGGUAGAAGAAGCACCGGCUAACUACGUG